RNAcentral lists this transfer RNA (75 nucleotides) under Levilinea saccharolytica. RNAcentral describes it as "tRNA-Met". It matches the Rfam family "tRNA". From Rfam's summary of the family: Transfer RNA (tRNA) molecules are approximately 80 nucleotides in length. Their secondary structure includes four short double-helical elements and three loops (D, anti-codon, and T loops). The record is from RNAcentral. Lineage: Bacteria; Bacillati; Chloroflexota; Anaerolineae; Anaerolineales; Anaerolineaceae.
GGGCCCGUAGCUCAACGGCAGAGCAGGCGGCUCAUAACCGCUUGGUUGAUGGUUCGAACCCAUCCGGGCCCACCA